This 445-nucleotide ribosomal RNA is filed under the name uncultured bacterium. RNAcentral describes it as "partial 16S ribosomal RNA". It matches the Rfam family "Bacterial small subunit ribosomal RNA", at positions 354 to 796 of the family's 1533-position model. The record is from RNAcentral.
GUGAGGAAUAUUGGUCAAUGGGCGGAAGCCUGAACCGGCCAUCCCGCGUGCAGGAAGACGGCCCUAUGGGUUGUAAACUGCUUUUCCAGGGGGCGAAACUUUCCGAUGUAUCGGGAUUUGACGGUACCCUGGGAAUAAGCAUCGGCUAACUCCGUGCCAGCAGCCGCGGUAAUACGGAGGAUGCGAGCGUUAUCCGGAUUUAUUGGGUUUAAAGGGUGCGUAGGCGGAUCGAUAAGUCAGUGGUGAAACCCUGCAGCUUAACUGUAGACUUGCCGUUGAUACUGUUGGUCUUGAGUGUGGUCAAGGUAGGCGGAAUGUGUAAUGUAGCGGUGAAAUGCUUAGAUAUUACACAGAACACCGAUUGCGAAGGCAGCUUACUGGGCCAUUACUGACGCUGAUGCACGAAAGCGUGGGGAUCGAACAGGAUUAGAAACCCGUGUAGUCC